UACUAACAUAUGCCAUAAGCCA
This 22-nucleotide non-coding RNA is filed under the name Arabidopsis thaliana (thale cress). The record is from RNAcentral. Lineage: Eukaryota; Viridiplantae; Streptophyta; Magnoliopsida; Brassicales; Brassicaceae.